This is a non-coding RNA of Phalacrocorax carbo (great cormorant), 3351 nucleotides long. Lineage: Eukaryota; Metazoa; Chordata; Aves; Suliformes; Phalacrocoracidae. The record is from RefSeq and is a predicted model, not a curated record.
GACAAUGCCGAUGGAGGCUUGCUGCAUCCUCUUUGCAACAAAAAGCUAUUAAAUCAAGAAGAAAAUGUCAGAGAAGCUAAAGAAAGAAGGCCUGCAUUAAUUUUGCCUAAACAGAGGAUCCUGGCAUCAUGUUCUCAGUUUCUCUCUGUACCACCCACUUUCACGUCGAUUACAUUGCCUCUUAGCUGUCCAGGCCAGGUCUUCUUUCCCAGAGUAUUGCAUUUACCUUGGUUUGAGCUAAAAAUGGGCACUUCUAGUUAAGAGUUCCCAUACUGUUAUCAACAACUCUAUGUUACUUCUUGCUGAGGACAGCUUCUCUUUAGUAUUGUUUCGCUUCAUCCUCCCAUGGCUCUUGAUGACUUGUAACCAUGCAAUACACUAAACUGAGGUGUGUGCAAUAUUAAUGGAAGUAAUGCAGAGGUCCCUGGCAUUCAGUACUUGCCACCAGUAAAUGCGGUACUCCAUCUACUCACUGUCAGAAAAUAUAUUUUAAUUAUUCCCUAUAAAUUUGUCCUGUAAGUACUUUAAUCUAAUGGCUGUUGUGGUCCACAGGGUAUGAAUCAGGUGUGUUCAUGCAUAAAUCAAGAGCAAUUCAGCUAAAGGAAGUGGUACUGGUGUACGAUCAGCAAAAUGAAGCUCACUACAGCAAAACAAUUUACUGAUCUUUGUCUCAAUUAAAAUGGGGUAUGGGAAAAUGUCUUAGGAACUCACAGAUAUAAAUCCUGUGAGAUGCACUGCCAUAGUAGUAGUCUGGAGUCCCUGUACUUUUACAGGUGAAUUUGACCAUUUUCUGGUAGACAUUAGAAAGAAAAAUAGCAAAAGGCCAAGUCAAACAAACACAAAGCAAACAAAAUGGACAUUUCUCCAAAUCCUAAGUCACUUUUAGAUUAAAUAACAUUGUAAUCAAAGUAUGCUUUUUAAUAUAUAAAAUGGCAUAGACACAUUAACAAGACACAGAUGACCACACUGACAGAUCUUGAAUAGACUUAAUGUAUCAUCAUGGCAAAGGGUCAUUAUGAGAACUGACAGUCAUAAUUUUAUAUAGUAAAUUAAAAGAACAAUUGUUCUGGAAGGGUUGAAAUAAUUUGUAAAAUUGGGUCAAUCUGGUGAGAGUUUUGGAUUAAGUAUUUUUUUAAGAAAUAGAACAACGUAUCUCAGUCUUUUUCCAUAUAAAAAAGAGGUUCUUUCAUUUUAAAUGUUUCAUAUUCAUCUGGAUAUAAUUUCCCAUCAUCACGACAACUCUUCCAACAUCUUUGGUCUGAAGUGUUUUUUUCUCCAUGAUUUCUUACUCUCUUUACCUUCCCCAAGCAGUCUGAACAAUGAAAUUCUAAAUAAUUUUAUUUUGCUAGAUUUAGCCAGUAUCUGAUAUUUCUGAGAAGGGGAAUCCAUAUUUGGCCUCACCAACCUCAUAAAGAGUUUGGAAAUUUAAUGCGGUAUAUCAGGAAAGUGGCUGGCUUGGAAACCCAAAUGCAGGUCCCAACGUUCCUAGAUAUUCACAGUCAGGCUUCUGGCCUGUGAGACAUCUCUAUUUUAACAACUCUGAUCCAUAUUCAACUGAAUUUCAAAAUAAACACAGAAGUAGCUGGAUAAAUAUCUUAGGUUAGGUUUCUGCUCUUGCUAACACUAACUUUUUUCCUUUCUUUUUUGUUUCUGAGGGUGUGAAGCCUGCAGAACUGAAAUGCAGUUGGCAAUCACUGCAUCAAGUCAAUCUACCACUUAGGGGUGGAAAAGAGACCCACCUGGAAUCUCUAAAAUUAAUGAAAAAUGAACUUACAUUGAAGCAAGCGAAGUACAGCGGUGAUGGAUCAAGGACUGAAAGUACAGCAGUGACGGAUCAAGGACUGACGGUGCAGCGGUGAUGGAUCAAGGACUGACUUCAGCAUGCAACAAUCCAGCACCACACACGACAUCUCCCUGGCCCUGAAAGACUCUUACGAUAGAUGGAGCUCAUUGGACAAUUUGUAGACAUUUGCUGCCCCUCUACAGGGGUGGCCCAUAGACUAAGGGCAUGCUAAAUGGUAUCUGUGUAUUUUAUCAAAGGAUGGCGGGGGGUGGUGGUGGUUUGAGGUUGUAUUGGAUAGUAUGGGACCUGAGCAUGACGUAAAUGGUAUGGAAUAGGGGUGGAUACUGUCAUGGUUUUAGCUGGGAUAGAGUUAACUUUCUUCACGGUAGCUUGCAUAGUGCUGUGCUUUGGACUUAGUAUGAGAAUAAUGUUGAUAACACACCAAUGUUUUAGUUGUUGCUGGGUAGUGCUUGUACUAGUCAAGGACUUUUGCAGCCUCCCAUGCUCCUCCGGGUGCACAAGAAACUGGGAGGGGAGGGGGCACAGCCAAGACAGCUGAUCCAAACUGGCCAAAGGGAUAUUCCAAAUCAUAUGACGUCAUGCGCAGUAUAUUAACUGGGGGGAGUUGGCCAGGGGAAGCAGAGAUCGCAGCUCGGGGACCAGCGACGUUGGUCGACGGGUGGUGAGCAGUUGCAUCACUUGUUGUUUGGGGUUUUUCCCCUCUUCCCAAGAUUUCACCUCUCUCUCUCUAGUUAUUUGCCUUUUCAUUAUCUUAUUAUUAUUGUUGUUGUUGCUGUUGUUAUUGCUAUUACUACUAUUAUUGCUAUUAUUAUUGUUGUUGUUGUUAUUGUUAUUAUUACUCUUUUAUUUUAAUUGUUACACUGUUCUUAUCUCAACCCAUGAGUUUUCUUACUUUGUCCCUUCCAAUUCUCUCCCCCAGCCCACGGGGGUGGGGGGAGUGAGUGAGUGGCUGCGUGGUGCUUAGUUCUUGACUGGGGUUGAACUACAACAGCCCUUUUUGGCACCCAGUGAGGGGCAUGAAGGGUUUGAGAUAAUAACAGUUACUGGUCACAGCAUUGAUUCAUCUGUUCUCAGUGUUAGUUUAUUAGAUGUACACCGUCCUGAUUUUGAAGUACAUGUUAAAGUUCUUGUGUUGGUUUUUGUAGUUUGCUGUGCUCUGCAGUGAUUAGAGCUGUUUUGCCUAGGAGAUUUGUUACUAAAACACUGUCCUUGAGCUUUAUCGGUUAUUUGCGUCUUGCGCGGAAGCCAUUACUGUACUUCGGGUACCACCUCAUGGAGACGAUUAGCAGUUAUACCUCCCCCUCUGAGAGGUUUUUUAUGGAGGAAAUACCGAGUGGCACCUUAGCUACCAUCUUCUGUAAUGCCUCCAGCCAGGUGGAGGAAAUGGAUAACCGGGUUUACUGGACUGUGUGGGUUAGAUGGCCUGGGACAUCAGCCCCACAGGAGUAUAAAGCUUUAGUGGACACUGGUGCGCAGUGCACCCUAAUUAUUAUUGUUGUUGGUAUUAUUACUCUUCUAUUGUAAUUAUUAAACUGUUCUUAUCUCAA